RNAcentral lists this ribosomal RNA (288 nucleotides) under uncultured bacterium. RNAcentral's name for it is "partial 16S ribosomal RNA". It matches the Rfam family "Bacterial small subunit ribosomal RNA", at positions 779 to 1063 of the family's 1533-position model. The record is from RNAcentral.
UAGAUACCCGGGUAGUCCACACCGUAAACGAUGAAUGCCAGACGUCAGCAAGCAUGCUUGUUGGUGUCACACCUAACGGAUUAAGCAUUCCGCCUGGGGAGUACGGUCGCAAGAUUAAAACUCAAAGGAAUUGACGGGGGCCCGCACAAGCGGUGGAGCAUGUGGUUUAAUUCGACGCAACGCGCAGAACCUUACCAACCCUUGACAUACUUGUCGCGGAUUCCAGAGAUGGAUUCCUUCAGUUCGGCUGGACAAUGUACAGGUGCUGCAUGGCUGCCGUCAGAAGGG